UACGUAGGGUGCGAGCGUUAAUCGGAAUUACUGGGCGUAAAGCGUGCGCAGGCGGCUUUGCAAGACAGAUGUGAAAUCCCCGGGCUUAACCUGGGAACUGCAUUUGUGACUGCAUGGCUGGAGUGCGGCAGAGGGGGAUGGAAUUCCGCGUGUAGCAGUGAAAUGCGUAGAUAUGCGGAGGAACACCGAUGGCGAAGGCAGCCCCCUGGGAUAACACUGACGCUCAUGCACGAAAGCGUGGGGAGCAAACAGG
Molecule: ribosomal RNA, 253 nt
Filed under: uncultured bacterium
Lineage: Bacteria
Description: partial 16S ribosomal RNA
Rfam family: Bacterial small subunit ribosomal RNA
Source: RNAcentral